ACUUUACAUGUUUCUUGUAUAAAAAGAAACUUUACAUGUUUCUGCUUAUAUAAAAUUGAAAAAUCUUGUAGGAAAGGCCGAAAUCCUUAUCUUGUUUACCUGAUGUGUUUUUUGUCUCGGGACCAUCAGUAGUCAGGAUGUCACCAUCCAUAUGUGUACAAGAGAUAACAAGUAAACUGAAAGAUGGUCCUAUGUUUACUGCUUACUGCUCACUGAAUCAGGAUUCAGUCGUCGUCGUCGUGUCCAUGUCCCCGUCCCUCCCCCCGAUAUUUAAGAGACCAGUAAAUUUUCUAUUAUACCUGAUGAUUUAAGCAGUAGUAAGGAACUUAGACAAAUUUCUCAGCUUAGUUGUUGGCCCAGAACAUGUAUUAAGUAUGGUUUAACAAAACUGGAAAGUGUCAGAAUGUAAUAAAAAACAGAGUUUGAUUUAAACUGUCUCCUUCUUCUUCCAACUUCAUGUAAAGGAUAAUGUUAAGCUAUGUUAAUAGCAAAUUUGCUCCCUAUAAAAGCCCUGUUCCCACCUCUCGGGUUUUCCAGAAGUUUAGGGGUGUUGUGUAGAUAUGGUUGCUGCAGUUAGCUGCCAUUAAGAGAAACGUCUUACUGGUUCCUGUAUACCACUAUAAUAGGCAGUUUUGUUGUUUGACAUAUGAAUAGUAUGAGCAUCUCUUUCAGAGUUAAAGUUUUAGAUCACAUUUACAGCAACUUUGUAGUCUCAUUGUAACAUUCAGCAAACCUCUGACAUGUCUGCUUUAACUAUUUUCUUUUUGUCUUAUGUCUUCUCUUGGCAAUGGUUUCUAACAUAAAAAUGUGAGAAAUGCUUCUGCCUUUACUUUGCGUUGUUCAUUGUUGCUAGGAAAAUAUUAGGAAAACUGUUGAGCAGUUUUUCUCCGUGUAUGAAGGACUUAUACAGAAUCUGAGAAUCUAUAAGUUGCGCCUUUGUAAUUUCUUGUUUGUAUAACCACUAGGCAUAUUUUCAGAAGAUAACUGUAUUGUUAUGUGAUGAAACUUGUGUUUACUGCUGUUACAGAACAGAAAAUCUUGUGCAUAUGUGAGCAAUAAAGCAGAAAUACAAAUUUACUACUGCCAGAAUAUGUGCUGCUAAAAAUGUAUAUAGAGAUGCUGUCAUUUCAAUUUUCAGAAGAAAAUGCUGUCUUUUUAACUGCAGAAGAACAAGGCUUUGUCUUCCUGUAAUUCUGAAGUGAAAGUUGUCAUCAACAAGAAAACUAAAACCUUUUAAAGAUAGGCGUUAGUAGUAGAAUGCUGAAACAAACUUCUGGAUUAGCUUCAUUGGCUUUCCCGCUUCUUUUGCAUCCCAAAGCAUAAGCUUAAAUCGUCUCAGAAGGACAAGGUCCGCCAGUUUAUGGCAUUUACCCAGGCUGGUGAAAGGACUGCUAUAUACUGCUUAAUGCAGAAUGAAUGGAAACUAGAAGUGGCAACAGACAACUACUUCCAGAACCCAGACUUGUACUACAAAGAAUCCAUGAAAAAUUCAGUAGACAGGAAGAAAUUAGAACAAUUGUAUAAUCGAUACAAAGACCCACAAGAUGAAAAUAAAAUUGGCAUUGAUGGGAUUCAACAGUUCUGUGAUGAUCUAAGCCUGGACCCAGCCAGUAUCAGUGUUCUGGUUGUAGCAUGGAAGUUCAGGGCAGCUACUCAAUGUGAAUUCAGUAAAAAGGAAUUUGUUGAUGGCAUGACAGAGUUGGGGUGUGACACCACAGAAAAACUAAAAGCUUUAUUGCCAAGACUGGAACAAGAGCUAAAGGAUCCAACAAAGUUCAAAGAUUUUUAUCAGUUUACUUUUAACUUUGCUAAAAACCCUGGACAAAAAGGUCUAGUUUCCUGGGAUCAAGCAAGAGAUGAUACAUGAGGAGGGCAUUGAGACUUGAAUCAAAUAUUACCUCAAGACCAGAAGAAUGACUAUCUUUGCAUCCGAUCUAGAAAUGGCAAUUGCAUAUUGGAAUUUAGUCUUGUCAGGAAGGUUUAAAUUUCUAGAUCUCUGGAAUAAAUUUUUGUUGGAGCAUCAUAAAAGAUCAAUUCCAAAAGAUACUUGGAAUCUUUUGUUAGACUUUGGAAAUAUGAUUGCAGAUGAUAUGUCCAACUAUGAUGAAGAAGGAGCGUGGCCUGUUCUUAUAGAUGAUUUUGUGGAGUAUGCACGACCAGUAGUCACAGGAGGAAAACGUAAAACUUCCUAACCCCGGGCUUGUCAAUAUGGACUAGAAGUGCGCUCUGAACUGCAUUAGGUAAUGAAGAUUUGUUGACUGAUAACUGCGCAUUGUUGCUGGUUUCAGUGGUCGUGAUGACAUUCUGCAGACAAAACUGAAAUUCUUCCUUUCUGCCUAACGAAAAUGAUGGCUGAAUUGUGGACACUUCAAGAACAAACUCAGAAGAUAGUCCAGGCUGUUUGUAGGCUAUUGGCUUCAACUAUUGUACUGGUUGUAUCAUAUAGGAUGUAGAUUUUUGCAUGAUUUUAUACUUCGGAGAAGUUUAACUAGAGGCCAUUUUAUUACAGUUUUGACAGCACAGCAUGCAAUUCAGUUCGUGAUCCAAAGUGAACACCAGCAGUUACAUAAAUAAAACUGUAUUAUAUUGUACUUAUAUUAAAAGCAGUAUUUGUGGUAUAUAAAUUAAAUCCCUAAAUAAAACUUACGCAGUAUGUUGUAUUUUUAUAAAAGUGAGCUCCGUGGAUCUGUCCUAAUAGAGAAUUGUAACAAAACAAAAAAACUUAUGCGUUUUUUUUUUUUACUUGUUGCCAAAAUUUUAAAUUUGUAUUUUUAAGUCUUAGAUGUAUAGAUUGAUUACAUCCAGCCUUUUGUUUUCUCCCAGUGAGAUUAACUUCCUCAUUAUUGAAGUGCUUGGACAUGUGGCGUUGCUGAGGAAGGGCUGCUGCUCUACACUAUGUUGCAACUCCAGCUUUUUUUAUUAACCAUUUUAAAGUAUGCAUUAAACAACCAAAGAUGCUUUUAUAAUUCCUGUUUGAUUAUCGUAAUUCAGUUAGUCUUCAGUUAUGUGUUUUAUUUACUUUAUUUUAAAUAAUGAACUGGUGGAAUAUAACUUUUAGUUU
This is an RNA transcript of Pygoscelis adeliae (Adelie penguin), 3061 nucleotides long. It is a transcript of the gene named DCN1, defective in cullin neddylation 1, domain containing 2, with no coding region annotated. Lineage: Eukaryota; Metazoa; Chordata; Aves; Sphenisciformes; Spheniscidae. The transcript is spliced from 7 exons. The record is from RefSeq and is a predicted model, not a curated record.